GACGAACGCUGGCGGCGUGCUUAACACAUGCAAGUCGAACGGAAAGGCCCUGCUUUUGUGGGGUGCUCGAGUGGCGAACGGGUGAGUAACACGUGAGUAACCUGCCCUUGACUUUGGGAUAACUUCAGGAAACUGGGGCUAAUACCGGAUAGGAGCUCCUGCUGCAUGGUGGGGGUUGGAAAGUUUCGGCGGUUGGGGAUGGACUCGCGGCUUAUCAGCUUGUUGGUGGGGUAGGGGCUUACCAAGGCUUUGACGGGUAGCCGGCCUGAGAGGGUGACCGGCCACGUUGGGACUGAGAUACGGCCCAGACUCCUACGGGAGGCAGCAGUGGGGAAUAUUGCACAAUGGGCGGAAGCCUGAUGCAGCAACGCCGCGUGCGGGAUGACGGCCUUCGGGUUGGAAACCGCUUUCGCCUGUGACGAAGCGUGAGUGACGGUAAUGGGUAAAGAAGCACCGGCUAACUACGUG
RNAcentral lists this ribosomal RNA (468 nucleotides) under uncultured bacterium. RNAcentral's name for it is "partial 16S ribosomal RNA". It matches the Rfam family "Bacterial small subunit ribosomal RNA", at positions 28 to 507 of the family's 1533-position model. The record is from RNAcentral.